Molecule: ribosomal RNA, 1346 nt
Filed under: uncultured bacterium
Lineage: Bacteria
Description: partial 16S ribosomal RNA
Rfam family: Bacterial small subunit ribosomal RNA
Source: RNAcentral
GACGAACGCUGGCGGCGUGCUUAACACAUGCAAGUCGAACGGAAAGGCCCUGCUUUUGUGGGGUGCUCGAGUGGCGAACGGGUGAGUAACACGUGAGUAACCUGCCCUUGACUUUGGGAUAACUUCGGGAAACUGGGGCUAAUACCGGAUAGGAGCUCCUGCUGCAUGGUGGGGGUUGGAAAGUUUCGGCGGUUGGGGAUGGACUCGCGGCUUAUCAGCUUGUUGGUGGGGUAGUGGCUUACCAAGGCUUUGACGGGUAGCCGGCCUGAGAGGGUGACCGGCCACAUUGGGACUGAGAUACGGCCCAGACUCCUACGGGAGGCAGCAGUGGGGAAUAUUGCACAAUGGGCGGAAGCCUGAUGCAGCAACGCCGCGUGCGGGAUGACGGCCUUCGGGUUGUAAACCGCUUUCGCCUGUGACGAAGCGUGAGUGACGGUAAUGGGUAAAGAAGCACCGGCUAACUACGUGCCAGCAGCCGCGGUGAUACGUAGGGUGCGAGCGUUGUCCGGAUUUAUUGGGCGUAAAGGGCUCGUAGGUGGUUGAUCGCGUCGGAAGUGUAAUCUUGUGGCUUAACCCUGAGCGUGCUUUCGAUACGGGUUGACUUGAGGAAGGUAGGGGAGAAUGGAAUUCCUGGUGGAGCGGUGGAAUGCGCAGAUAUCAGGAGGAACACCAGUGGCGAAGGCGGUUCUCUGGGCCUUUCCUGACGCUGAGGAGCGAAAGCGUGGGGAGCGAACAGGCUUAGAUACCCUGGUAGUCCACGCUGUAAACGGUGGGUACUAGGUGUGGGGUCCAUUCCACGGGUUCCGUGCCGUAGCUAACGCUUUAAGUACCCCGCCUGGGGAGUACGGCCGCAAGGCUAAAACUCAAAGGAAUUGACGGGGCCCCGCACAAGCGGCGGAGCAUGCGGAUUAAUUCGAUGCAACGCGUAGAACCUUACCUGGGUUUGACAUGGAUCGGGAGUGCUCAGAGAUGGGUGUGCCUCUUUUGGGGUCGGUUCACAGGUGGUGCAUGGCUGUCGUCAGCUCGUGUCGUGAGAUGUUGGGUUAAGUCCCGCAACGAGCGCAACCCUUGUUCACUGUUGCCAGCACGUUAUGGUGGGGACUCAGUGGAGACCGCCGGGGUCAACUCGGAGGAAGGUGGGGAUGACGUCAAGUCAUCAUGCCCCUUAUGUCCAGGGCUUCACGCAUGCUACAAUGGCUGGUACAGAGAGUGGCGAGCCUGUGAGGGUGAGCGAAUCUCGGAAAGCCGGUCUCGGUUCGGAUUGGGGUCUGCAACUCGACCUCAUGAAGUCGGAGUCGCUAGUAAUCGCAGAUCAGCAACGCUGCGGUGAAUACGUUCCCGGGGCU